This 497-nucleotide ribosomal RNA is filed under the name uncultured bacterium. RNAcentral's name for it is "partial 16S ribosomal RNA". It matches the Rfam family "Bacterial small subunit ribosomal RNA", at positions 28 to 507 of the family's 1533-position model. The record is from RNAcentral.
GAUGAACGCUGGCGGCGUGCUUAAUACAUGCAAGUCGAGCGAAAGGACGUGAAGAGUUCUUUUGGAUUGAAUGCGAAGGGCGGGUGAGUAAACGGUGGAUAAACUACCUAUCAGACUGGGAUAACUUAGGGAAAAGGGUGCUAAUACGGGAAAUAAUUUCGAAUGACAUGUAACAAAAGUAAAAGAGGGUGGUGAUGUCACUAAUAGAUUGAGACGCGCUGCAUUAGCAAGUUGGUAAGGUUACGGCUUACCAAGGCAACGAGGUAUAGCCGACCUGAGAGGGUGAUCGGCCACACUGGAACGGAGACACGCUCCAGACUCCUACGGGAGGCAGCAGUAGGGAAUCUUCCGCAAUGGGCGAAAGCCUGACGGAGCAACGCCGCGUGAGUGAUGAAGGUCUUCGGAUCGUAAAACUCUGUUAUUAGGGAAGAACAUAUGUGUAAGUAACUGUGCACAUCUUGACGGUACCUAAUCAGAAAGCCACGGCUAACUACGUG